UCUCCUUUCCUCUCUAAUGCUCCCUUAUAUGGAGUCUUAGCAAAGCUUCCUCUGUCCUCGAUGUCAAAGGAGAUUUCAGAAUAUCGCCUGGGCUCCUCUUCCUGUGUUGCCAUGCCCUCUGAGUCUCGCCCUGCCCACCUCUGCACUCUGUCCUCAUUGUCUCACUUCCAUGCUCCUCUUGGGGACACUUGCACAGCUUGCUGCCCCGUGAAUGCUCCAUGUCCCCUUUUCAGUUCCAGGUUGUUCCUCUGCUGGAAGAGCACGUGCCUCGCCUGGCCUCUUUGUCUGGACACCUUCUUUUCUUUAAGAAUCCACCCAGGAAUGGCUCCUGACGCUUCCAGGUCUGCAGAAAGCCAUCCCCGGCCCCUUCCUCACCCAGCCUGAGCGCUGUUCUCCCCUGCAGUGCCCACACAGUUCCCGGUGUGAACGGCUGACAUCCCGUUCACAUCGGCCUCCUGUACUGCACCCUGAGCUUGUGAGCUCUGUGACAGCAAAGGGCUUAUGUGAAGGGCGUUUGGCACCUUCCACAUGGAGGUGAACCCAUUUACCUUGUUAAUUCCAUUUGCUCCCACCUCUUAGGUACCUGCAUAUUUCUAUCCUUCAGAUUUCCUAGCACUGGGCCUUAUAACAGCAUUUCUUAAAAUGGGGUCCCCAGUCCAACAGCAUCAGCAUCACAUGGGAAUUUGCUAGAAAUGCAACUUUUGGAGCCCUCCUUGGACCUCUGGGAUCUAAAACUCUGCAGUGAGAACACGAGACUUUUGAAAAAACACAGACGAUGAAACUAUGUGCUCUUUCAGCCAAUACAAUGUGGGAAGUUUUUCUGUUUGUUAAAAUAAUUCAGGUCCUUACAGGGUAGCUUGGUGUAAAUGUGGCCACAGACUCUCAGUUUGGGUCCUCUCAUCUGGUCCUCCACCGUCUAAGGCCAGCACACCAUUCCUGAAGCCCAGCUUCACACCCUGGAUUUUACCCCUCAUCCCUUGAGGACCCGAAGACAAACAGCCUUGUCAACGCACUAGUGCUUUGUCUCACCUCAACUGCAAAGUGGCCAUGGGGUCUUCACCAGCAGCUGGGGAGGAUGCUCCAGAAACUGGCCCUGAUAGCUUUGCCCUGUAACUUGACUGGAUUGCAACCACUAUGGAGUUGGGUCAGACACAACCACUGGGCAGCUGACACGAGAUCUGCACAUUUGUUACUAGAAGAGCCAGAAGGCCACCCACUGUUCCUCCUAGUGAACCACUGGCAGAGCAGAUGUGCCUUUCACCUUCCACCAUGAUUAUGAGGCCUCCCCUGCCAUGUGGAACUAACUGGAAGGAGACAUGGCUUGCAUCAACAGCAACAGAGAUGGGCCCCACAGUUGCCACUGCCUUCGCCAGGUCCUUCUCCCAUGAAGUUCACAGAUGUGGGGAUCUCAAGAAGCAGACGUUCCUGGAACUCUUUCCCCUUCCUGUGCUUCUGGUAUUGAAAACCAUUCAUCACCUGCCUGAAUUCUUAAUUAGUCUUCAAGGAAAAGUAAAUAAAAUGUUAAAAAGCAAGAGAUUGAUUUGGUAAAGAACUGAGGAGAGGAAGCACAGAGUUCAGCAGUCCACAGCACACUCACCAUGUCUCCAAAGGCGUUCAUGGCUGUUGUGAAGCUGUGUUUCCCUUGGCUGUGUUCCUGAUUGUGCUGCUCAAUCAUCUUCAUGUUCUCCCACACUGCUCUCCUCCAUCCUUCUUCAUUCUAAAGACAAACAUGUAACUGAUGCUCUUUAUUUCUAAUUAAAACCCAGCCUAUGCUAACCAA
Long non-coding RNA from Homo sapiens (human), 1780 nucleotides. RefSeq lists it as uncharacterized. Lineage: Eukaryota; Metazoa; Chordata; Mammalia; Primates; Hominidae. The record is from RefSeq and is a predicted model, not a curated record. The transcript is spliced from 6 exons.